GCGAAAGGGAUUAGAUACCCCUGUAGUCCUAGCUGUAAACGAUGGACACUAGGUGUUGGCCGUAUCGACCCGGUCAGUACCGAAGCUAACGCGUUAAGUGUCCCGCCUGGGGAGUACGCACGCAAGUGUGAAACUCAAAGGAAUUGACGGGGGCCCGCACAAGCGGUGGAGUAUGUGGUUUAAUUCGAUGCAACGCGAAGAACCUUACCAGGGCUUGACAUCCCGCGAAUCUUUUGGAAACGAGAGAGUGCCUUCGGGAGCGCGGAGACAGGUGGUGCAUGGCUGUCGUCAGCUCGUGUCGUGAGAUGUUGGGUUAAGUCCCGCAACGAGCGCAACCCUCGUUCUUAGUUGCCAUCAUUAAGUUGGGCACUCUGAGGAGACUGCCGGUGACAAACCGGAGGAAGGUGGGGAUGACGUCAAGUCAUCAUGCCCCUUACGUCCUGGGCUACACACGUACUACAAUGCUUCGGACAGAGGGCAGCGACCUCGCGAGAGCAAGCUAAUCCCAGAAACCGAGGCUCAGUUCAGAUUGCAGGCUGCAACUCGCCUGCAUGAAGGCGGAAUCGCUAGUAAUCGCAGGUCAGCAUACUGCGGUGAAUACGUUCCCGGGCCUUGUACACACCGCCCGUCACACCAUGGGAGUUGGCCACGCCCGAAGUCGUUACUCUAACCGUUCGCGGAGGAGGG
Molecule: ribosomal RNA, 687 nt
Filed under: uncultured bacterium
Lineage: Bacteria
Description: bacterial SSU rRNA
Rfam family: Bacterial small subunit ribosomal RNA
Source: RNAcentral